RNAcentral lists this long non-coding RNA (263 nucleotides) under Struthio camelus australis. RNAcentral describes it as "lncRNA (ENSSCUG00000000682.1)". Lineage: Eukaryota; Metazoa; Chordata; Aves; Struthioniformes; Struthionidae. The record is from RNAcentral.
CAAUUGAAAACGCAAUUUUUUGCCUGUAGUUGAGAUAUGUCAGAAAAUGGGGAGGAAAAACAGCUAAACAGAAGACUCCUGGCUCCAAGGAGAGACUGUCUGGAAGCUUUGGCAUGACUCCCUGCCCUACAGCAACGGACCCUGCAGUCGUGAAGACCUUGGAUUUGGAGAAAUCUUCUUGCAUUUUCUACUGGCUUCCCUCUGCAACUCAGCUACUUGUUGUAACUCCUAUUCCUGCAUGCUUGAUCCUCUGCUCCCUGUAA